CUGGACUGUUUCACAGGCAAGGCCAGCAACUGGAGAACGGCUCAGUGGAUAACGUGCAGGCCGUGCAAGCAUGAGGCCAUGGGUUCAGAUACCCAGCAGCAAUAAAAAAGAUCCCAGCCAUGGUGGUGUGUGUUUAUAAUCCCAGUGCUGCGGAGGCAGAGACCUUCAGGAGCACGAGGAGCAGAAUGAACAUAAUCCCCACACCAACCUCAGGACCCCUGGUCAAGUCCAUGGGGGCUCUGAAGAGCGGCGAACCUGUUGUUCUCCGAAUUCCUUACAUCAAAUUUCUCUCCUGCAAAAUCAGGCCCCCAGGAAGGAUCCACUUCAUAGGCAGUGCUGUUCUGGGAAGAGAGAAGCACAUGGAUCUGCUUCCGAUACCUCCACGAACACCUGGGGGCCCCAGAUGAGCAGUUCCUCCUCAGGGGACAAGGUGGAUCUUGCACGAAGGUCAGCCAUGUUGUGGGCUGGUGACUUGUUCAGAUGCAGGUCCUUCGUAGAGUCUUCAAAACCUCCCCUUCGCUAUCGCCUCGGAGAUACUAAAUGCUAGGUGAUGGUCUGGCGAGGUGGUUCAUGCCCCAAAGGCAAAUUGCCUGAUUUUGGACCAUUAGGGCCAGCAAAGUAGGAGGAGAGAGUUGACUUGCCCAAAUUGUCCUCCAGUCUCUAUAUGCACACCCCCACUAAAUUAAAUUUUAGCUUAAAAAAAAAAAAAAUGAGACCUA
This is a long non-coding RNA of Onychomys torridus (southern grasshopper mouse), 719 nucleotides long. RefSeq lists it as uncharacterized. Lineage: Eukaryota; Metazoa; Chordata; Mammalia; Rodentia; Cricetidae. The transcript has 3 exons. The record is from RefSeq and is a predicted model, not a curated record.